AAGGCGAUCAAGCUUGACUCCGACCUCCAAAAGCUUGGAUUGAGCAUUGUCUCCAAGCCUGUGUCCGUUCUUGAUCCUGCUUUCUAUGUCCUCCACCAAUCUGGAAACCUCUUGUGCUUCUCUCAUCCAUGCAUCCACAAAUAGAGAGUUUUCACUCAUCUCUCCAAGACUUUGCAAGACCCUGAAACUACACACUUCCAAGUUCCACCUCGCUCUCUUUAAGCUUUAUGGGUCAUUUGCUAAUCUGAUAAAUCUCCAAUGAGGACAAAACAAUGGAGUUUGCACCCAUCUGACUAUCCAGCUAAGAUAGCGUAAUAAUUAAUGAUAAUUAUCAUCGUUCUUACGAUACAGAUGGCAAGCAGGAUUUCAUUAAUUUGCAUUAAUGAUUAGACUAAACUUUGUGUUACUGCCUAAUUUGGCAAUUAAUUGUCUAAUCAUACUACGUAAUAGAUCAUGGUUUGAUAAUCAUCACAUCAUUGUCUGGUGAUUUUUGAUAAGUAGCUCAUUAGUUGUAAAAGAUGACAAAAUGUUGAGGCUAUUCUGGUGCAGAACCAGACUUCAAGAAAGAAUCAAAUCAAUCAAGA
Molecule: unclassified non-coding RNA, 584 nt
Filed under: Hevea brasiliensis (rubber tree)
Lineage: Eukaryota; Viridiplantae; Streptophyta; Magnoliopsida; Malpighiales; Euphorbiaceae
Source: RNAcentral